GAUGAACGCUGGCGGCGUGCUUAACACAUGCAAGUCGAACGGUGAUGCCCAGCUUGCUGGGUGGAUUAGUGGCGAACGGGUGAGUAACACGUGAGGAACCUGCCCUUGCCUCUGGGAUAAGCCGGGGAAACUGGGUCUACUAACGGAUACGACCAUCUGGCGGCUGGCGUGGGGGUGGAAAGCUUUUGUGGUUGUGGAUGGGCUCGCGGCCUAUCAGCUUGUUGGUGGGGUAAUGGCCUGCCAAGGCGACGACGGGUAGCCGGCCUGAGAGGGUGACCGGCCACACUGGGACUGAGACACGGCCCAGACGCCUACGGGAGGCAGCAGUGGGGAAUAUUGCACAAUGGGCGCAAGCCGGAUGCAGCGACGCCGCGUGAUGGAUGACGGCCUUCGGGUUGUAAACCUCUGUCAGUAGGGAAGAAGCGAAAGUGACGGUACCUGCAGAAGAAGCGCCGGCUAACUACGUG
Molecule: ribosomal RNA, 467 nt
Filed under: uncultured bacterium
Lineage: Bacteria
Description: partial 16S ribosomal RNA
Rfam family: Bacterial small subunit ribosomal RNA
Source: RNAcentral